GCCUGGCUGGCUCAGUUGGUAGAGCAUGUGACUCUUGAUUUUGGAAUUGUGAGUUCAAGCCCCAUGUUGGGUG
Canis lupus familiaris (dog) is the source of this 73-nucleotide non-coding RNA. NCBI's taxonomy places the organism in Eukaryota, Metazoa, Chordata, Mammalia, Carnivora, Canidae. The record is from Rfam.